Long non-coding RNA from Gasterosteus aculeatus aculeatus (three-spined stickleback), 348 nucleotides. Lineage: Eukaryota; Metazoa; Chordata; Actinopteri; Perciformes; Gasterosteidae. The record is from Ensembl.
ACAAAACACAGCAUGGAGGAGACGACUGCGAGCGAGACAUUUACAAACUAACUUAGCGAUCCAGCGUGUGGAAACAUUUUGGCAUUUGCAAACACGGAGGUGUUCGAAAUAAGUCGGUCGCUGUUUGUAGAAUAUGUAGAAGACAAAUAAAAACCACAGAAACACGACGAAUCUUUCCGGCCAUCUACUAAGGCGCCGUGGGAUUAAACAACGCCGACAGUCAGAACCUCUAGCAGCGUUACCGCUGCAGCAGCAGCAGAAGGUCCUGUUCCCGUAUCCAUUUCCAUCUCCCUGGCACUGAUGGCCUUGCUUUGACAAAUCUAAAGCAACAACGGGGCAACAGAAGAG